This 515-nucleotide ribosomal RNA is filed under the name uncultured bacterium. Its description in RNAcentral is "partial 16S ribosomal RNA". It matches the Rfam family "Bacterial small subunit ribosomal RNA", at positions 28 to 523 of the family's 1533-position model. The record is from RNAcentral.
GAUGAACGCUGGCGGCGUGCCUAAUACAUGCAAGUCGAGCGAAUGGAUUAAGAGCUUGCUCUUAUGAAGUUAGCGGCGGACGGGUGAGUAACACGUGGGUAACCUGCCCAUAAGACUGGGAUAACUCCGGGAAACCGGGGCUAAUACCGGAUAACAUUUUGAACCGCAUGGUUCGAAAUUGAAAGGCCGCUUCGGCUUUCACUUAUGGAUGGAACCGCGUCGCAUUAGCUAGUUGGUGAGGUAACGGCUCACCAAGGCAACGAUGCGUAGCCGACCUGAGAGGGUGAUCGGCCACACUGGGACUGAGACACGGCCCAGACUCCUACGGGAGGCAGCAGUAGGGAAUCUUCCGCAAUGGACGAAAGUCUGACGGAGCAACGCCGCGUGAGUGAUGAAGGCUUUCGGGUCGUAAAACUCUGUUGUUAGGGAAGAACAAGUGCUAGUUGAAUAAGCUGGCACCUUGACGGUACCUAACCAGAAAGCCACGGCUAACUACGUGCCAGCCGCCGCAGUAA